RNAcentral lists this ribosomal RNA (111 nucleotides) under Fukomys damarensis (Damara mole-rat). Lineage: Eukaryota; Metazoa; Chordata; Mammalia; Rodentia; Bathyergidae. The record is from RNAcentral.
GUCUAUGGCCCUGCCACCCUGAUGAUUCCCGUUCUCAUCUGAUCUCAGAAGCUAAGCAGGGUCAGGCCUGGUUAGUACUUGGAUGGGAGAAAUACACACAGGAGUUUGUCA